UAUCCCCCCUAUGGCUGUUAGUUAUGGUAGUUACUGUAUGAUAUUAUUGCAUGCGAUUGUAUUUAUGUUUCGUAUGUUUAGAUAAUUAUUUAUGCUGUUUACGCUAUUUUUGUUGGAGUUACUAAUGCUUUAUUGUUUCUGUUUUUGUCUUUUUUUUGUUUUACUGCUGUUUUUCCUUUUAUCCUAUGAGCCGGGGUCGAUUGGAAACAGC
This 211-nucleotide long non-coding RNA is filed under the name Nicotiana benthamiana. RNAcentral describes it as "long non-coding RNA (NBEN_LNC037229)". Lineage: Eukaryota; Viridiplantae; Streptophyta; Magnoliopsida; Solanales; Solanaceae. The record is from RNAcentral.